RNAcentral lists this ribosomal RNA (1395 nucleotides) under uncultured bacterium. RNAcentral's name for it is "bacterial SSU rRNA". It matches the Rfam family "Bacterial small subunit ribosomal RNA". The record is from RNAcentral.
GAAUUCGCCCUUAGAGUUUGAUCCUGGCUCAGGAUGAACGCUGGCGGCGUGCUUAACACAUGCAAGUCGAACGAAGCGCGCGGAAGGAAGGCCUUCGGGCCGGAGAGCCGCGGGACUGAGUGGCGGACGGGUGAGUAACGCGUGGGCAACCUGCCCCGUACAGGGGGAUAACAGCCGGAAACGGCUGCUAAUACCGCAUAAGCGCACAGCGCCGCAUGGCGCGGUGUGAAAAGCUCCGGCGGUACGGGAGGGGCCCGCGUCUGAUUAGGCAGUUGGCGGGGCAGCGGCCCACCAAACCGACGAUCAGUAGCCGGCCUGAGAGGGCGGCCGGCCACAUUGGGACUGAGACACGGCCCAAACUCCUGCGGGAGGCAGCAGUGGGGAAUAUUGCACAAUGGGGGAAACCCUGAUGCAGCGACGCCGCGUGAGCGAAGAAGUAUUUCGGUAUGUAAAGCUCUAUCAGCAGGGAAGAAAAAAAUGACGGUACCUGAGUAAGAAGCACCGGCUAAAUACGUGCCAGCAGCCGCGGUAAUACGUAUGGUGCAAGCGUUAUCCGGAUUUACUGGGUGUAAAGGGAGCGUAGGCGGCGCGUUAAGUCUGAUGUGAAAACCCGAGGCUCAACCACGGGAGUGCAUUGGAAACUGGCGGGCUGGAGUGCCGGAGAGGUAAGCGGAAUUCCUAGUGUAGCGGUGAAAUGCGUAGAUAUUAGGAGGAACACCAGUGGCGAAGGCGGCUUACUGGACGGCAACUGACGCUGAGGCUCGAAAGCGUGGGGAGCAAACAGGAUUAGAUACCCUAGUAGUCCACGCCGUAAACGAUGAGGACCAAGUGUUGGGGAAGACCCAGUGCUGCAGUUAACGCAGUGAGUCCUCCGCCUGGGGAGUAUGCACGCAAGUGUGAAACUCAAAGGAAUUGACGGGGGCCCGCACAAGCGGUGGAGUAUGUGGUUUAAUUUGAAGCAACGCGAAGAACCUUACCAGGCCUUGACAUAGGGUGCGAAGCUAUGGAGACAUAGUGGAGGUAAACAUCCAUACAGGUGGUGCAUGGUUGUCGUCAGCUCGUGUCGUGAGAUGUUCAGUUAAGUCUGGCAACGAGCGCAACCCUCGUGAUGUGUUACCAAUAUCGAGUUAGGGACUCACAUCAGACUGCCGGUGAGAAACCGGAGGAAGGCGGGGAUGACGUCAAAUCAUCAUGCCCCUUAUGGCCUGGGCUACACACGUACUACAAUGGCGGCGACAGAGGGCAGCGAGCCUGCGAAGGCAAGCGAAUCCCAAAAAGCCGUCCCAGUUCGGAUUGGAGUCUGCAACCCGACUCCAUGAAGUUGGAAUCGCUAGUAAUCGCGGAUCAGCAUGCCGCGGUGAAUACGUUCUCGGGCCUUGCACACACCGCCCGUCA